GCCAAAGACUCAGUGGUGCACAGCUUUAAAAAAAUAAUAAAUUAAACAGCAAAUAAAUCAUAAUUGUCCAAAUUAAAUCAAUUGAGAUGUUAAUACAUAUAAAAUCAUACUUUAUUUUUAAAGUCAGAAAAUUUCUUAAAAUAAAUCAAAUCACAAAACACUUUCUUUUGAAAUGUUACACAGCUUAAUCAUGACUCAAAUAUCUAAUUCAUUCCAAUAGCCAAAGGCUAAUAAGGAAUACAAAGCCUAGCUAGCACAAUAUAUAUAAGUACCCAUACAAUUCGUCCUCAACUGACACACACCUCAACACUUCAAUCAGAGAGGGAAUUCAAUGCCAAUUCGUCCCACUAGACAAGCU
This 358-nucleotide unclassified non-coding RNA is filed under the name Hevea brasiliensis (rubber tree). Lineage: Eukaryota; Viridiplantae; Streptophyta; Magnoliopsida; Malpighiales; Euphorbiaceae. The record is from RNAcentral.